Molecule: ribosomal RNA, 253 nt
Filed under: uncultured bacterium
Lineage: Bacteria
Description: partial 16S ribosomal RNA
Rfam family: Bacterial small subunit ribosomal RNA
Source: RNAcentral
UACGUAGGGGGCAAGCGUUAUCCGGAUUCACUGGGUGUAAAGGGAGCGUAGACGGCGACGCAAGUCUGGAGUGAAAGCCCGGGGCCCAACCCCGGGACUGCUCUGGAAACUGCGUCGCUGGAGUACGGGAGGGGCAGGCGGAAUUCCUGGUGUAGCGGUGAAAUGCGUAGAUAUCAGGAGGAACGCCGGCGGCGAAGGCGGCCUGCUGGACCGUGACUGACGUUGAGGCUCGAGAGCGUGGGGAGCAAACAGG